This 497-nucleotide ribosomal RNA is filed under the name uncultured bacterium. Its description in RNAcentral is "partial 16S ribosomal RNA". It matches the Rfam family "Bacterial small subunit ribosomal RNA", at positions 28 to 507 of the family's 1533-position model. The record is from RNAcentral.
GAUGAACGCUGGCGGCGUGCCUAAUACAUGCAAGUCGAGCGAACAGACGAGGAGCUUGCUCCUCUGACGUUAGCGGCGGACGGGUGAGUAACACGUGGAUAACCUACCUAUCAGACUGGGAUAACUUCGGGAAACCGGAUCUAAUCCCGGAUAAUAUAUUGAACCGCAUGGUUCAAUAGUGAAAGACGGUUUUGCUGUCACUUAUAGAUGGUUCCGCGCCGCAUUGGAUAGUUGUUAGGGUAACGGCCUACCAAGGCAACGAUGCGUAGCCGACCUGAGAGGGGGAUAGGCGACACGGGAGCGGGGACACGGUCCAGACUCCUACGGGAGGCAGCAGUAGGGAACCGGACGCAAUGGGCGAAAGCUUGACGGAGCAAGGCCGAGUGAGAGAUGAAGGUGUUCGGAUCGUAAAACUGUGUUAUUAGGGAAGAACAAAUGUGUAAGUAACUGUGCACGUCGUGACGGUACCUAAUCAGAAAGCCACGGCUAACUACGUG